Molecule: long non-coding RNA, 1641 nt
Organism: Oncorhynchus masou masou (cherry salmon)
Lineage: Eukaryota; Metazoa; Chordata; Actinopteri; Salmoniformes; Salmonidae
Exons: 3
Source: RefSeq, a predicted model, not a curated record
UGCGGACAGGCUGUGUGAAGGCUAAACUUCUGAACAGAAGCAGCUGCUGUUUAUGUUGCGCGUUUUCUCCGAGUUAUAAAAGCAAGGAGAGCAGAAACAGGGCUUCUCUUUAGUUAACUGAUCUAGCUGGCAAGGUAACUGCUGUUUGACAGAAAAAAAUAACAAAUGAUUCCCUGUGCUGAGCUAGUAGUGUAACUAACAUUAGCAAAUUUUUCAUCCCCUCUCAGCUGAAGUGAAUGAACUGCUAGCAGCUACCACAGCCAGUUCAGCUCUAGCUAGCCUCUAGCUGCUGUAUCUGUCAGGUAGCAGUAUCUAACAGCUGUUGUGUGUAUGGAAAUGUUUUGUUGCCUUUGUUUUGUCCUGUUUCAACAUAUGUAAAUUUGAUGAUGUACCAUUGUACCAUUAGCUAGCAGAGCUAGCCAAAAGUUGGCUAGGAAAACUGACAGCUAGCUAGCUCACUAACAUUAGCUAUUAUUUUUGCCUCAAUCACACUAGACCUGAAUCAAAUGAUUAAACCCAGAGUUUUUAUUAGUCAGUAUAGCAAUGUAACAUGAUUUAUCUGGCAGUUUCCCUAGCUAAUUCCCUUCCUUUCACACUGACACGAUAUAAGCAGCUAUACAGGCUUCAUGGUGCAGUCAGUACACAACACUACAGUACACAUCAAGCAGGAUCAGAUGAUGACAGGUGUCCCAGCAGGGUCAGACAACCAGGGAAGACCAGUCUACAGAGCUCAGUAUUUCUGAGCACAUCUGAGAAAAGAUGGUGACAGAGUCAAGCAGCCAGGGAAGUCUGGGAUGGAGCUGAGUAGUUACAGUCUUGUCUCGUCGCUGCAACUCCCGUACGGACUCGGGAGAGGCAAAGGUCGAGAGCCAUGCGUCCUCCGAAACACAACCCGACCGAGCCGCACUGCUUCUUGACACAACGCACAUCCAACCCAGAAGCCAGACACACCAAUGUGUCGGAGGAAACACCUGGAGACCUGGUCAGCAUGUACUGUGCCUGGCCCGCCACAGGAGUCGCUAGUGCGUGAUGAGACAAGGAUAUACCUGCUGGCCAAACCCUCCCUAACCCAGAUGACGCUGAGCCAAUUGUGCGCCGCCCCAUGGAAGAAAUGUCAAGUUAUGUAUCACUAGAUACACUAGACACACUAGUAUGUAUUACUAGACUAAGGGUAUACUGUGCAACUUUCAUAAAGUAUGGAUACCUUAUAUGGAAUACAGUAUGACAAAGGGAGUCUUUAUUGAAAACAUGCUCAUGUCAGGGGAGAUAACUAUUUAGGAAAUCCCUAGCUGCUGGGCUGCUCAUUCCUCAGUCCUGGCCUUGGGGGUCUGCUGUACUGUUGGUUGUCACUCUGACCUUGGCCUAACACACCUGAAACCAAUAAUGAAUGUUUCACUAAAAUCUUAAAGCUGAGUGGGGUGUGUUGGGUUGGGGGCUGCAGGGCCGUGGACCCCUAGGGGCAGGAUGGGGUGACCCAGCUAUAUUGUGUGCAGAUAAAAAGAGCUACAGUACUAUUACGCAUAUGAUAUUAAUGAUUUUAUUUAGGGUGUACUGUUUCUAUGUGUUAAUGUGUAUGUGUGUUUUUACAACACUUUUGUUUUCAAACCUUUCCUUGAGACAUAAAAAAAAGAUGGGAAGUAA